Molecule: RNA transcript, 4913 nt
Organism: Cygnus atratus (black swan)
Lineage: Eukaryota; Metazoa; Chordata; Aves; Anseriformes; Anatidae
Gene: PLPPR5
Gene name: phospholipid phosphatase related 5
Exons: 12
Source: RefSeq, a predicted model, not a curated record
CCCGCCCGAAGCGGUGCCCGUGGCGGUGCCGGGCCCCCGCCUGCCCCGUCCCCGCCCGCGGUGGGUGCCGCCGGGGAGCGGGGCUGCCGCGGUCGCCGGAGCACCCCGUCCAUGCGAGUGCCCUCUCCGCUCAGCAGCAUGCUUUACUUCCAGAUGGUGAUCAUGGCAGGGACCGUGAUGCUGGCUUACUACUUCGAGUACACCGACACCUUCGCCGUCAACGUGCAGGGCUUCUUCUGCUACGAGGGCGCGUACCGCAAACCCUACCCGGGCCCGGAGGACAGUAGCGCCGUGCCCCCGGUGCUCCUCUACUCGCUGACGGCGGGAGUGCCCGUGCUGGUGAUUAUCGUUGGAGAAACUGCAGUGUUUUGUCUACAGUUAGCUACAAAGGAUUUUGAAAACCAAGAAAAAACAAUAUUAACUGGAGACUGUUGUUAUAUAAAUCCACUGGUGCGCAGAACCAUCAGAUUCCUUGGAAUUUACGCAUUUGGACUAUUUGCUACGGACAUCUUUGUAAACGCUGGACAAGUAGUAACAGGGAAUCUCGCACCACAUUUUCUUGCACUUUGUAAACCCAACUAUACAGCACUUGGAUGUAAACAGUAUACACAAUUCAUCAGUAGUGCACAAGCCUGUACGGGAAACCCAGACCUUAUCAUGAAAGCCAGAAAGACAUUCCCAUCCAAAGAAGCAGCACUAAGCGUAUAUGCAGCUAUGUAUCUGGCUAUGUAUAUCACCAGCACAGUAAAAGCCAGAGGAACAAGGCUUGCAAAACCUGUUCUGUGUUUGGGCUUAAUGUGCUUAGCUUUCCUUACUGGAAUCAACAGAGUAGCAGAGUAUCGAAAUCACUGGUCAGAUGUAAUAGCAGGAUUUGUAAUUGGAAUAUCUAUAGCAGUAUUUUUGGUUGUUUGUGUGGUAAAUAACUUCAGAGGACGUCAGCCAGAACAUGAACGUUCUCAUAUGGAUAAUCUGGCCCAGAUGCCCAUGAUCAGCAUACCCCGAGUAGAAAGCCCUUUAGAAAAGGAAUUCCCACAGUUCCCUUCCCUUAGAGGUGGUUCUGGUGAAAUUGAAAAGCAGGAGGGGAAGAGCUGUAUUGCAGAAGUGUCCGCUGCCUGUUGGUGAAGUUCCAGAUCAUGGUUGGCUCAGGCCAAGCUCCAGACCCUGCUUUGAUUGAUUUGGAGAAGAGGCAAGUUUUUACCUCUCCCAGAGCUGCAGUGGCUCCACUGCCCUGGAGCUUGGGCAUUCAUUCUGGACCUGAAAAACUUUCAGUAGGAAGAGUUUGUCCAAAUGAAAUUCUUUGUCAGAUUAAGAGAAGUCGGUACUCCCAUGGCAUUGGACACUAUGCUGCUGCUUUUUAUUUGCUGCCUGAUGACCUGCCUUCCCAGCAUACUUAAGGGUGUUUAAGAGCGGUAUACCAGAUAUGAUGGAUGGCCCUUUCCAAAGAAAACUUCUUAUGUGGAGCUACUCAAAGAAAAUCACCAGAUUACACAAGACAACGGGCAAAUCCCAAGGAUCAUUCCUCCCUUUCAGCCUCCUUGUAUCCUCCUGAUUGAGACGUCUCCUUUCUGAAACCCACACUCAGCUGCUCAGGCUUUGAAUUAGACCUCAAAUGUAGGCCACCAGAUGUGAAUCCAGUUCCUCCUCUUCUGUGCAUCUCUCCUCUCAUCCCCACACCACUCUGCACUCAUGGACCAUUAGCAAGGCUUCAAACACAGCUUUUGCAUUAGCUGUGAGGAGGACCCAGGAGAGCUGCAGCUUGCCAUGUCACUCCUGUUCUGCAGCUGGAGCUGAGAUACACAGCCAUUCUCUCUGCUACUGGGCCUAUCGUCUCCCUGUGGUAGCGGUGGAACUGGGAAGUUCUGCUGGUUUGCUUGUAAUUGGAGGUGACUUCCAGGAUCCCACUGCUGUGCACAGGAUCUGCAGGUGUGGAGUGGCAGUCAUGGCACUGAUAUGCUCCAACCAGCCUGUGAACAUGAAAGAACAGGCCACGGAACUUCGAAUUUCUUCCACGGUGUAGCCAUGAUGUGAUGUGGACAGGCAGACUGUUCUACAUCCCCACCUGGAUACGCAGUUUAAACAUCACCCUCUAAAGCCCCAAAGAAACUGUGUGUUGUAUCAAGGCAAGGGUUGGACCUAGGGUCUAAAGACAGCGUUAUGCCACACUUCUUCAUCUCAACUAGAAAGGUUUAAGAUCUACUUUUCCACAGCUGAUAAGAAAUAUAAAUACCAUCUUCUUCAGCUGACAUGAGAGCAGAAAUCAAAGAAUGCCCUGGUCUCUGAACUACAAAUCCACCUAGUGUGUUCCUGAUUUAUGAGGUGUACAUUGUUACAAUUUAUCCUACCAAUUAAAUAUGGUCCUGAAUCCAUUUUCUUACACUGAUCUCACUGAGGCAGCUAGUGCGACAAAUUAAAUUUUACAUCAGUGGUUCCUGCAGGACAGCACGAUGUUCAACAGACGUCAUACAGCUGGCCAGAAGGUGUAAGCUAGACACUGCCAGGGCAGAGCACUAAUGGACACGAACAGGGCGACUUGUAGCCAAAGGAACUUGGUCCAAAAGCCGAACUACCCGCUGAAGAAAACGGAGUGCAUGCACCUUGUCUGAGGACUCCAUGAGAUUAUACCAGAAGUACUUUCUGAAAAGGCCAUGUCCUGCCAGGCAAUGUCCCUUCCCUACGGUGAACAGCAGUAAGACCAGCUGCUAUACAAGUUGUAUGAAAUUGCCACUCAUCACUGAGUCACUCUGUGCAAAUGCAGUCGUUUUUAGCAAGUUGCCAACAAACCAUACAAAUGGGAAGUACUGAUAAAAGGGAUGCAAUGUUGAAAAGUUGAUCUAACUAGCUGUGUACAAAUAACUUAAGCAGUGACCUGUAACACUCCUUUUUGCCAAAACAAAUUCUUAAUAUAUAUUGUGCUUUCACAUACAACGCAACUAAUAGACCUGUCUAUGAUACAGCCACUGUGAGACCUCACUUAGCAAUUAAUUGUCCAGUGCAUAGACAGAUAUAUCUUAAAGAUAGGCUGAGACUAGAAAUAUUUAAGUAAAGGUUUGCUGGAAGAUGGUCUUUGCUUAUUCCUAUAAAUGUGAAAUUAGUGUUAUAUAACAUGUUAAUUUAUUUCCAAGAGAAACUGUAUUUCAGUCACCUUUUAUGUGACAUUCCCUAUAAACCUGGGGGAGCAAAGAGCAGAUGUGGUUCUCCUGGCAGCCAGCGAUCUCUCUGACCCCUGCUGGCUGGUUCCUGGCUGCAGCGAUGCCCCUGAACAUCCCUGCUACCCUGGGCCAGGGAAACCGUGCGAGCCCCCACGCUCCCUCCAACUCCACUCUCCGUGUUGCCCAGAGGCUGCCCCCUCCCCACCUUUCAGGUUUACAGAUUUGGCCUGCAUCCACCAAGCCCUUCAUGACGGUGCUGUGCCCGCGUGGGGCAGGCAGGACAGCCAGGAGACAAACCUGGGGCUCGGGCCCCAUGGCUGGAGCAGCUGGGGAGACACGGUGGGCUGGGCGAGGAGCAGGCAGCACGGAAAUACGAUGGCAUUGCUGGUAGCUGCAGCUGGCAGAGGACCAAGACCUGUCCUCUGUGCCCCAGCUCCGAGCAUCGGGGGCUUCUCUGCCUCCUCGCAUUUUGUAAGAGCUUUAAACUUUAUCCCUAAACUAAGGACAGGAGAAGCAGCUGAGGAAGCAGAGAAACAAAAACAGAUGAGAGAGCAAAAAGGCAGUAAAAUUUAAGUAAACAGAAUUUCUGCUUCAGGAGAAAAAAUUUUAAAAAAUAGGUGUAUUUACUGACUGUCCCACUGCAGUACACAGAGGCAAAUUAUGAAAUACACUGUAGACAUCACAGAUUUAGAUAGUGGUAAUAUAUUCUUAUUUAUUCAUUUAAUUGACAAGAAAUCAAAUGAAAAUAUGCACUUCAGCUGCCAAAACCUACCUAAACAGCUCAUCUUUACAUGAAAGCUAAUUACAACAACCCUAAUAAAAAAUGUCUGAAAUGUCAAGGACUUUCUCCAUCGAUAUACUAGAAAGUUGCAGUAAUUAUUAUCUAGUCAUUUUUAUAUAUUAUUUACACUGUAUAAUGCUUGGUGUUAACACUGGGCUAAAAGGACAUUAUUUAGGCUGUAGAGCUCAACUAUUAAAAAUUUUUAAAAAUGCCAGUUCUGCUCUCCACCAUAGCUCUAAGCUGCAUAGGUGGUAAUGGAGGAGUGCAGAAAAGGUGUCCCAGCAUUGGUGCCGACAUUGCACAAGAGUAGGCUGAGGCCAGAAGUGAGCCAGUGGCAACAGUGGGCAGGCCAGCACUGAGGCCGUGCAAAUUUAUCCCAAAAUUCCUUUAAGUCAUCCCACUGAACUUCACUGGUGGCUUUCAGCAUGCCUGCUUCCAUGAGUUACUACAGGUAUGGUCUCACUGCACUAGAAUGAAGAUGUCCGACUGCUAGUAAGAAAAAAAAAAUCCUAAAAAAUAACCAAAUAAGACAAAAACUUGAAGGAACAGGAUUGAGAGCUUUUCAUUUUAAAUAUGUCUAAUGGCUUUGCUCAUUCUACCUCCUUUUUCUCUCCUAUGUCAACAGAGCAGCAGCUAUGAGAGCACUGCAGCAAGUCUUACUUUCUCUUAACUCCCAAUGGGGAAGUAAAGAGAAAUGUUAAAAAUAAACCACAGCACUGCCUGUAUUGACAAAACAUGAUCCAUGGAUGCCCAUUAUAACCAGUCCUUUGCUACAGCUGCCUAUCCACUGAUGUGUUGCAUGUUUCUCAUGGUUGCCUCUGCCUAGCAUGCACAGCUGCAAAGAACAAGCUUUUUCAGAGAAAGUAUGGGACAUACAGAGACACCAUACAGUUACAGAGCAUGGCUCCACAGAACACGCUUUCUUCAGGGGAUUCUUCUCUUGCAGUUAGAGUAAGGCCUAGAAUAUUUCAGCAUUCUGUACA